This 377-nucleotide ribosomal RNA is filed under the name uncultured bacterium. RNAcentral's name for it is "bacterial SSU rRNA". It matches the Rfam family "Bacterial small subunit ribosomal RNA", at positions 523 to 898 of the family's 1533-position model. The record is from RNAcentral.
ACACGUAGGGGGCGAGCGUUGUCCGGAAUUACUGGGCGUAAAGGGCGCGUAGGCGGCCCAAUAAGUCUGAUGUGAAACCCCCGGGCUUAACCCUGGGCCUGCAUUAGAAACUGUUGGGCUUGAGGACAGGAGAGGAAAGCGGAAUUCCCAGUGUAGCGGUGAAAUGCGUAGAUAUUGGGAGGAACACCAGUGGCGAAGGCGGCUUUCUGGACUGCACCUAACGCUGAGGCGCGAAAGCCAGGGUAGCGAACGGGAUUAGAUACCCCGGUAGUCCUGGCCGUAAACGAUGGAUACUAGGUGUGGGAGGUAUCGACCCCUUCCGUGCCGUAGCCAACGCACUAAGUAUCCCGCCUGGGGAGUACGGCCGCAAGGCUGAA